CGGAAUGUGGCUCAGCUUGCGUAGAGCACUCGCUUCGGGAGCGAGAGGUCGCGGGUUCAAAUCCCGCCAUUCCGAC
Molecule: transfer RNA, 76 nt
Filed under: Streptomyces phage Frankenweenie
Lineage: Duplodnaviria; Heunggongvirae; Uroviricota; Caudoviricetes
Description: tRNA-Pro
Rfam family: tRNA
About the family: Transfer RNA (tRNA) molecules are approximately 80 nucleotides in length. Their secondary structure includes four short double-helical elements and three loops (D, anti-codon, and T loops).
Source: RNAcentral